RNAcentral lists this ribosomal RNA (231 nucleotides) under uncultured bacterium. RNAcentral's name for it is "partial 16S ribosomal RNA". It matches the Rfam family "Bacterial small subunit ribosomal RNA", at positions 118 to 334 of the family's 1533-position model. The record is from RNAcentral.
UGGGUGACCUGCCCCCUACUCUGGGAUAAGCCUGGGAAACUGGGUCUAAUACCGGAUAUGACCUGAGGUUGCAUGACUUUGGGUGGAAAGCUCUGUCCUUUCGGGGAUGGUGUGGUGGGGGAUGGGCCCGCGGCCUAUCAGCUUGUUGGUGGGGUGAUGGCCUACCAAGGCUUCGACGGGUAGCCGGCCUGAGAGGGCGUCCGGCCACACUGGGACUGAGAGACGGCCCAG